Molecule: ribosomal RNA, 660 nt
Filed under: Triticum aestivum (bread wheat)
Lineage: Eukaryota; Viridiplantae; Streptophyta; Magnoliopsida; Poales; Poaceae
Description: partial small subunit ribosomal RNA
Source: RNAcentral
AUGAAGAACUUGAAAGACGCUAAGACAAAAAUUUAUCCCUCAACUACGAGGGGAGGUAAGGAACUGCCAUCUAGCUCUGCACUAGAUUCUCCUUCUGUUAUGAGUAAGUUUGCGACACCUAAACCUACUACUGCUAUUGAUUCUGAUAUGUCGCAUAUUAUUGAUGAUGCCACUUAUGCUAUGCACGAUACUUAUGAUGAAACUACUUCUAUGCUUGAUACUACUGUGCCACUCGGUGAAUUUCUUGAUGAGCAAAUUGCUAGGUCUAGAGAAAGAGAAAUUAUUGAACCUGAACACGAUGAUGCUAGUGAUGAUGGGCCUAUGCCUUCUAUUACUGAGGGUUAUCUUUUUAGUGCUGAAUCUUUUGAAGCUAUUGUUGCUUGCCAGGAUAGUCUUGAACGUAAGAGGUUGCUAAAUAAGUGGAGUAAAGAAUAUUUUAGAGGUAGGAUGAGACCCGACCCUGCUUUUGCUACUUCACCUAUCUGUGUUUCUGAUUAUGAUUAUUAUGAUAUUUAUGUCGAUGCAGAUAUAAUUAGUUUUGUUGAAUCUGAUCCUUUUUAUGGCUAUGAAUCUAAAACUGUUGUGGCACAUCUUACUAAGUUAAAUGAUAUAGCUGCCCUGUUUACUAAUAAUGAGAGAUCGCUACCUUUAUUUACUUAA